UAAACGACUCUCGGCAACGGAUAUCUUGGCUCACGCAUCGAUGAAGAACGUAGCAAAAUGCGAUACUUGGUGUGAAUUGCAGAAUCCCGUGAACCAUCGAGUUUUUGAACGCAAGUUGCGCCCGAGGCCUUUUGGUUGAGGGCACGUCUGCCUGGGCGUCACAC
RNAcentral lists this ribosomal RNA (164 nucleotides) under Jacobaea vulgaris. RNAcentral's name for it is "5.8S ribosomal RNA". It matches the Rfam family "5.8S ribosomal RNA". From Rfam's summary of the family: 5.8S ribosomal RNA (5.8S rRNA) is a component of the large subunit of the eukaryotic ribosome. Lineage: Eukaryota; Viridiplantae; Streptophyta; Magnoliopsida; Asterales; Asteraceae. The record is from RNAcentral.